This is a transfer RNA of 74 nucleotides. It matches the Rfam family "tRNA". From Rfam's summary of the family: Transfer RNA (tRNA) molecules are approximately 80 nucleotides in length. Their secondary structure includes four short double-helical elements and three loops (D, anti-codon, and T loops). The record is from Rfam.
GUCGCAGUAGCUCAGUUGGAUAGGGCAACGGUCUUCUAAACCGUAGGUCGUGGGUUCGAACCCCACCUGCGACA